Long non-coding RNA from Microplitis mediator, 233 nucleotides. RefSeq lists it as uncharacterized. NCBI's taxonomy places the organism in Eukaryota, Metazoa, Arthropoda, Insecta, Hymenoptera, Braconidae. The transcript is spliced from 2 exons. The record is from RefSeq and is a predicted model, not a curated record.
CUUUGUUCAAUUACAGACCAGUUGAAACACAGCAGAGCCGCUGACACGAUGCAAUUUCUUUGAAUAAUUUAUGUUAGAAAAUUAUCGGCUUAUUUAUUUGAUUUUUAAAAUAACAAAUAACGCCGUACUGACGUUUAUUAGUGAUAAUUUUAUUACUAUUGUGACUGCAUAAAUCACUGGGUCAUCGAAAUCUGGUGGUAGGAUUUCGGCGCUAAUUAGUCAAUAGUGACUGG